Molecule: ribosomal RNA, 253 nt
Filed under: uncultured bacterium
Lineage: Bacteria
Description: partial 16S ribosomal RNA
Rfam family: Bacterial small subunit ribosomal RNA
Source: RNAcentral
GACAGAGGGUGCAAGCGUUAAUCGGAAUUACUGGGCGUAAAGGGCACGUAGGUGGAUCAGUAAGUUGGAUGUGAAAUCCCUGGGCUUAACCUAGGAAUUGCAUUCAAAACUGCUAGUCUAGAGUACAGUAGAGGGAAGUGGAAUUUCCGGUGUAGCGGUGAAAUGCGUAGAUAUCGGAAAGAACAUCAGUGGCGAAGGCGACUUCCUGGACUGAUACUGACACUGAGGUGCGAAAGCGUGGGGAGCAAACAGG